Molecule: long non-coding RNA, 3696 nt
Organism: Ictalurus punctatus (channel catfish)
Lineage: Eukaryota; Metazoa; Chordata; Actinopteri; Siluriformes; Ictaluridae
Source: Ensembl
CCGAUUUUGAAAGUCGUUUAGUGUUCACUAGGCAUAUCAAGCUAGGUUAUGUGAAGUAAGAAUUUCCCUGUAGUGUACUCAGUACGGUAUCUCACUCCUCUAUUACUAAACCCCUCGAACAUUUCCCUUCUAGUUAUUCUUCCUUGCUGAGAAAAACAAUAGAAACCAAUACAGAAAUUCUAAUAGUUUCCACUACAAAUACCAUUACAAACCAUCACCUAACAAUUAAAAUCAUUGCCCUUACCAUUUUUGCUCCUUAAUGGUAUCCACUAGACAUAACAUGCCACCAAUAGAAGGCAACUAAUUACGAGUAGAGACCCACAGGUUCUAUUACAGUUUCCAUUAAAACCAAUACAAUUCCCAUCAUGAACAUUAAAACCAUUACAAAUUCUUUGAGGGUGUGGCUUUUAAAGCUGGAGCAGGCAGAACACAGACACUGGGAGACUGGAGUGCUCUUUUAUUUAUAGAAGUGUGGUUGGGUGUGGGGAGUGCAGUGCUCUGGUGCAGAGGCAGAUCAGCAUCGGUCUCUGGAGUCAGAGCGUGAGGAGUAGGCCUCUGGAGUCAGAGCGUGAGGAGUAGGCCUCUGGAGUCAGAGCGUGAGGAGUAGGCCUCUGGAGGUGAGAGGCGGGAACCAAGGAACUCAGUUGAAGACCUCAGAGGCAUCGAUCUGGAUGUGGCUGCCAGGGAAUGUCCUUGUCGUCUGAGCUGUGUCUGCUUCCUGCAGGAAAGGAAGAAAAAUAUAUCAGCUGAUAUGUGUUGAGGAACAUUGCUCACAUGGCUGUUGUUCUGAUGCCCUUUUAUACUCUCCCCUCUGCUCCGGGAGGGUAAAGAGAGGCUGCUGUCAUCAGUGGCUGCCAGCUGUGUGUGUUUCUGCCGCCCCGCUUUGCAGCCAUGUACUCUCAUGCUGUCCAAAACAAUCGAGGUUCUGAAGUGACGCUGUCCUUUCAGCACCUCGCUGCCAAUCACGUGAAGAACAUUAUAUCUUUGUGUAGUAUCUUUGUAUGGGGGGAGAUCUUCUCCUCAGUGCACCAGGUUACGCUCAAUGGGACUUGUGGAAACACACACACACCUGGAGCUGGUUCAACCCAACUUUUAGCAGGUUUACGUGAUAUGUUUGUGUUUCUGCGCACUUACCGGGCUGUCACAAGCGGUAGGUGUACAUGUUAUGAAGCACACAGAGGAGGGGACCCAAAAGCAAAACUCAGGCACAAGGUUAACAGGAUUUAUGGAAGGGUAGUGGAAGCUGGGGUGUGUGGGAUAGAAGUGUGAUAAUGUGUAGUCGGGGUUAGGAUUCGACCCCGGGCCCACGUGAGCGUGCACAGGCGAUGCUGGCUUAUGUUGUCGAGGCUUGAACUCAGGUCAGCAGCGUGAGUGCUGAGUGCAGAGCAGGAGAGCCAUGGGGAAGACAAGGCGAAAUGGACCUGUGAGCAGUGUUGGCAGUGAGCAGGCAGGAAGCAGGUGCAGGUGAUCCUGGAGCACGAGGAGAGAAAACACACGACGAGCACAGUGUGGGAAACCAUUAACAAUAACACGAGUACAGCCGGCAGUGUACCGCAACGAAAGCCGGAACAAUCUGGUGAAGAGUGGCUGAAAGACUGGAGUUUAUAUAUGCUAUAUAUCAGGCGAGGUGUGAGGUGGAGUGCUACACCCACACACACACACACACACACACACACACACACACACACACAAACACACACACAAACACACACACACAAACAGGAAUGAGAGGGAGGGAAAUACUGGAAACACCAGGAAAGGUAAAAACAGGAAAAUACCCCAUGUAUUACCCCAGCUCUGACCUGGACCAUGACAGUACAGGAAUCCAGAUGUUACAGUGGCAAGGAAAACUGUGACAACAUAAAGAAACUGUAAGAGGAACCAGAGUUAAAUGGGAAUCCUCUUCUGGCUGACACCAGAGAGUGGAAUUCUAAACAAUUCCGAUAUAUAGGUGUAAAAGAGGAAAGUGUGUUGAAAGGAUGUUCAGUAUGACCAUAUUGUGACUAAGAUUCCUAGGAUGAGCACAGCACUGUCUUUAUAUGGUGGUGGCAUUGUUUUUUUUUUUUGGGUUGUCCGUCCAUCCAUCUGUCCAUCCAUGCAUCUGUCUGGGAUUAUCAUUAGUGCUAUAUCUCAAGAAUGAGUGGUUCAAAGUGCAGAAUUGCAGAAUGUUGAAUUUAUCAUUGUACCGAGCAGACGAACAGAUUAGGUUUUUAGAAGUGCUUCAAACAGGGUCAAGGUCACAGCAAGGUCAGAUAGCUGCAGUAGCUUUUCAUCAAUAGAUUUCCUCACGAAGAAUAUUUUAAGGGUAUUUCUGGCAUACACGGUAGACUUGACUUCCCGGUUGACACCACUGUCAUCGAGAUUUACUUCAUUUACAUCAUACCCUUCUCUGUCUCCCUCAAUAAUUUCUUUCAAUUAUUAAACCCCUUCCCUGGCUCCCUUAUCCUCCUCUUUCUCUCUGUGUCUCUCUCCUACUCUUUCCAGUCUCUUUUAAUCAUCAUCCUGUAUUUCCAUCUCUCUCUCUCUCUCUCUCUCUCUCUCUCUCACACACACACUCACUCACUCUUCUCCCUCCAGCUUGCACACAUUUUGCUUGCAAUGACAUCACACCUCCGUAAUGGAGUUUUAAAGCAGUGUGUGAGACGUGUGUGAGUAAGCUCGCCUCAUUUUUCACACCCAUGAGCCAAACUGAGAUGUUCUAGCUGAUCUGCUUGGUUGAGACAAAUCUUUCAUGGCCUAAUUUUAUCACGCUUCAAUGCAAAAUACCUGCCGCCUCCAGCAGCCAUAUUUUUGUGCAGGGCCAUCAAGGCGCAAAUACGGCAUAUUGCAUUCUCCUGCCUUGUGUUUCAUUAUUCAUAUGUAUUUUUAAGAAAAGAAAAUAGCUGAGGUUAGUUUCGUCAGCAUGUUUUUGGGAAGUUGGAGGAAACCCACACAAACUCUCUGUGAAACUUUGCACAGAUAGUAACCAAAGCGCCGGAUGGAACUGGGGACCCUGGAGCUGUGAGUGCUACCCACUGUGCCAUCCUGAUCAUAUUCCAAAUCAUAAUAAUAGACAAACACAUCCUUUCUGAUCUGAGGUCUGAACAGUUGUGUACUGAAUAUAUACAAUACUGAAAAAAGACCCUUCCAUAGUGAUUUGCAAGCCUGAUUUUAUUUUUAUUUUUUUUUUUUUGAAACAGAACAUUAAUAUUCAUAAUAUACAAAGUGCUGCAAAUAAGUUAUGUAAAUGUUGUUUUUUUUAUUUAUAUGAAACUGGGUUGGAUAAUACAUCAGGCAUUUGGCACACUCCUGCUUGCACUGUAUUCAAGUAGGCAGGACUGGAGAGAUCGGGUGUAACAGGACACAUUAUCUGAAAAGAACUUAGUCAGUAAUGCGACCUAUUGUGAAUAUCAGCUGGGGAAAUGGAAUGGCAGAUGUGCUAUAAUAUUAAUAACACUGUUGGCUGCAAUCCAGUGAAGGGAUUCUAUAUCUGUGAAAUUUUGUCAUUUUGGAACGUUAACUCAAUAAUGUGUUUCAUUAAUAUCACAGUCAUGAACAUUGUCUCAUAAUACUGCCAAAUCUCAUCAGUGCUUCUAUCAUGAGGGUAAUAUUAAGGUCAUUUUGAGCCAAGAGGGUAAAUAAAAGGGAUUUUUUUUUUAAAGGUCUGAUGUAUCUAGAUGUGAAACAGGUGAUGUCGGUGGCAUCCUUCCGCUUCAG